AUGUUCCCAUGCCUCCCAAACUUCCAAACAUGCAUUCAACUUACUCAAAACAUGCAUAAACUCUUACAUCAACACAUUGGGGUCUCAAACUAUCCUAAACCCCAACUAAAACUCAUCAAACAUUCAUAUAUAACACACAUUAUCCAUAAACAUAACAUAAAACCUAACAAUGCUCAACUAACCUAAACAUGCAUUUCUACCCCAUGAAUCAACUUAAACUUGUUUAAAAACAUAAAACGAG
Molecule: long non-coding RNA, 241 nt
Filed under: Manihot esculenta (cassava)
Lineage: Eukaryota; Viridiplantae; Streptophyta; Magnoliopsida; Malpighiales; Euphorbiaceae
Description: long non-coding RNA (MESC_LNC009600)
Source: RNAcentral